GAGAUGAAGACAGCCGGAAAGCAGUUCCCGAAUACAUCAAAUCUUAAAAGAGUCAUAUAAUCACUUCCCUGUCCAAAUUUGGACAUUAGUUACUGUCCCCAAUGGAAUCCUACAUUGGACAUUUGGGCUGAACAUAUGUAUAUUAAGGUAACCUUUCUUUCUAACUAUAUAUACAUUUUUAUGUACUUGUCUCCCAGUUAUUGCAUUUUCUCUAUCUAUCAAUCACGACCUUUUGGACUUCUAUUGCCACUUAAGGAUUCCAGCUUUUCUAGAUUAGGAGACUUUUUCUGAGUAGAACUAACCGGUGGCUUGGCCAGUUUUUUGUCAUUGUCACCCUUAAAGUAGAUUUCUAGAUCAGUUGAGCUUCUUCUCCUUGAAGCAAUACCCCAACCCAUAAAAUCUGAUAGUGUUGGUGUGUCUGAACUGCUCACCCUCAAUGCAUCUUCAUCAGAUGAGCUAGGGUAUGUCUCGGAUUUUUGUGGUGAUGAUGUUUGAGCAAGGGAAUCAGCAUGAAGGACGUCCUCGAUUCUUGACAUGACAUUGAAGGCCAAGCUCUCUAGAAUCCUUGAAUAGCUCUCUAGAAUAGCGUGUCCUACAUCCUGGUGAAAAAUCGAAGAUCAAGUAAGUUUUUUAUCAUCAACCUUUGAAUAACAUUUAAUGCUUUGCUUGUUGUGUAUGUACCCUAUUAUCUUGUAACUUAGAUAUAUCGAGUGAAGAUUGUGGAAGUCCGGGAUAACGUUGCUUUAACAAGAUUAAAAUAGUUUCCGCCCUUUCUUCGAAGAGUUCCCUUUUUUCCAAGCUAACACCUGAACCCCAAGAAGACCUACCGUCUUUUUGGUGCAUCUUCCUCUUCCAAAUGACAAUGGAAGCCUCAAUCCUAUUCUUAAGGUCAAGAACUUUGUGUUCCGUCGACAAGUCCAUAGUCGAAAGGAAUUGUGAUGGAUCAAAGUGGUCCACCGUAAUGCCUUUAUAGAUCGAAUCACCGAGGCUCGCUCUUCCGUUCUGCAUGAUGGAGAAGAUCAAUAAAGAUAACUAAAAAAAUGAUUAAAAGAAGUUGGUAAAAGUAACAUGGAGGCUCCUAUACUAAGAGUCAAAUUGCAUUUUAGCCUUUCUAAAAAAAAGUUAAAUUAGUCCUUGUAUGUUAGUUCAAAGAGUAAAUUGGUCUUUUCUGUUAAAAAUGUCAUCCAUUUAUACUUUUAAAACUGACAUGGCUGACAGAAUAAUAAAAAAUAAAGGGAAUUUUUAAUAGAAUGACCAAGGACUAAUUUGCCCAUUUUUUCAGUAGAGGUGGUAAAAUGCAAUCUGACUCCUUUACAAGAGCCUUCAUGGUACUUUUACCAAAGAAGUCUUAUUUCUUUACCCUGGGGAGUGAAUCAAUGUAACUUUCAGGUAUCCCUAUUUCAGAUAGUACUUCAGCAUUGAUAGCCAUAGCUGCUUUUAGCACCUGGUUUACUGACUCCUUUUGACACUGCAGCCAUCUCCGUGACAUUUCCGAUAACCCGUUUACAGGUACUUUAACAGUUGGAUGCCACCAUUUAUCGUCCCUUUUACCGUUUUCAUUCUCUUGGUCAUCAUCUUUAGAGACAUACCAAAAUUCUUUUUCUUGUCCAAAGCCAUCAAGAGUCUCCUGUUUUUUUAUUAUAAAUUUUGAUCAAAUAUUUAUUUAUCAUAUGAUCUUUAUCAGUAAAAGUUUCAUGGAGGCUCUUUCAAAUUGCAUUUUACCCUCUCUAUUCAAAAAAUAAGCAAAUUAGUCUUUGUACAUUGGAGAAAAGAGCAAAUUGAUUCUUUCUGUUAGAAAUUUCAUCCAUUUGUCAUGUUAAAAAUUGGCGUGGCUAACAGAAUAACUAGACAGUAUCACUUGGCAUGCCAUGUGUACCUCAUGCUAAUGUAUAGGAAUUAGUUUUUAACAAUAGAAAUUGAAGAAAUUUUUAACAUAAAGAACCAGUUUGUUCUUUAAUCUAUCAUAUAGGGAUUGAUUGGCUCAUUUUUUUUCUGUAGAAAGGGUAAAAUACGAUCUGACUUAUUGUACAUGGGCCUCCAUGAUACUUUUAGCGAUCUUUAUCAAGUUAACUAGAAGGAUAAAGUUACUCACUAUAAGCAUCGUGUCGAGUUUUCUUAGACCAGGUAUGUUCACAAGCAGAUCACUCCUUUGUCUCGUGACCAUAAUCUAUCCAAAUUCGAAACAAGUUGCUGUGAGUUCAUAUAGUGAAAUGGUAGUACUAGUUCGAAGAUUUGUGAGUUAUAUGUUACCUCCAUGUUCGUUCCGUUUUUCGUUUUCUGUUGCGAAGGAACUAAUUCGACAAUGUGAUCAGUUACAGAUAGAAGCCAAUCCAUUUCUUUUCUCCACCUUGCUUUGGUUUCUGGUGCCAUAGGUCCUAAUUUCACUUGUUCCCCAAAAACAGAUGCUGCAAUUAUCAUUUACCAAUAUGUUCAAAUUAUCAACAUUUUUCAUCAUGGAAAUGAAAAACGAAAGCUAGAAGAUCGAUGGGAUUCGACCCUGAAAUUGCCGGAUUUCGUUUCCUAUGAGUGGUUACAUGAACUAACUGAGCUAACUUUGAGGUUUUUAUUAUGCAUUUGAUAAUUAGAUUUUAACAUAAUGUCAGAUCUGAUCCUUAUUCAUUUUUUAACUAAAUUUGGUUCUCAAUUUUUUAAAAAGAGUCAAUUUGAUCUUUAAUCUUUUAAAAAAGGAGUUUGAGUUGAUGUUUUUAAUGGAAACUCUGACUAAUAUGGCAUCCCAUAUCACAACUUACGUGUACUUCAUGCUUUUUUUUUUUUAAUAUUGAAUUUUUUUCAUUUUUGAAUAUUUUUAUAAUUUUAAAAUUAUUUGUUGACGUGGCAUAUAAGAUAAAUAAUGCCAUGUUAGCAUGAAAUACAUAUAAACUGACAUAUAAGGAAAGCAAUUUGACCCUUUUUGAAAGUUUUAGAGUCAAAUUUAGCUUUAAAAAAAUAAAGAAAUAAGUUUAUCAUUAUACCUUUAAUUUUAGACAAGAAAUGUUCUACCUGCUAGGUUUGUCACUGCAUUUGACAAAGCCAAAGCCGAAGGAACACCUUUGCCUCCUCCUGACAUAUCUUCUCCCAGAAGCAACUUAGAAAACCUUUCCUUCAUCUGCUCCAUAUCUGUCUCAAUAUAUACAUGCAUAUAUAUAUAUAUCUUAGAAGGAAAUAAUUAGCUUUCUUGUUCAUAGAUUGUAAAGCAAAAAUUUGGAAAAUGAGAUUAGUGGUUUGCUUGGCAGAGUAGAAAAAAGGGAAGAAAUGGAUAUAGGAUGGUGAAAAACCAAAAAAGAACAUAAAUGUUUGAGUGUGUUAGGUAGGGAAGAAAAUUCUCGCUCACUUAACUGCAUUACAAAGAUUAGCUUUGUCUUCAUUAGCUUUCUUGUUCAUAGAUAGUAAAGCAAAAAUACGAAAACGAGUUUAGUGGUUUGCUUGGCAGAGUGAGAAAAAAAAACAACAGAAGAAUGAACAAAAGAUGGUGAAAAACUGAAAAAGAAUAUGAAUGUUUGAGCGUGUUUGGUAGGAAAAAGAAUUCUUGUUCAUUUAGCUGCAUUACAAAAGAUUAGCAUCGUCUUCAUUAGCUUUCUUGUUCAUAGAUUGUAAAGCAAAAAUACGGAAACAAGAUUAGUGGUUUGCUUAGCAGAGUGAAAAAUCUAGAAGAAAUGGAAUUAGGGUGGUGAAAAACUGAAAAAGAAGAUGGAUGUUUGAGCGUGUUUGGUAGGAAAGAAAAUUCUCGCACCUGUUUGUGGCCACUCCUGGGGAGUUUCUACCACAGACUCUCCUAUAUUUUGUUGCCCCAUUGAUUUAUCUUCACUUGGUUGCAGAUUAUCAUCGACAUCAUCCACGUGCUCGUUAUUACCGCCUGCCGCGGUUGUGUUUUGUUGCUGGUGGUGGUGAUGUCUCAUUGGAUUAUCAAACAGGCGAAAAGAUCCUACAUUUUGAGUACUAUACAAGCGAGUCAAUGUUCGAACCAUCAUUCAAUUCCUGUGUUUCUUCUUCUCGUUUUUAAGCAGCAAAAAAAUUGAAGAAGAAACAAAGUCGAAAAACAAUUAUAAAAAACAAAAGAGUCUGUUUUUAAUGAGUGAAAAUGAGAGGCUAGCAAGGAUUUUUAUUUGAAUUUUUCAGUACUGAAAAGAGAUAAAGCUCUUUUGAGUGGUUAAUCUUGUUUGCAGUUUUUGCAGGCAAAGUAUCAACGGUGAAUGUUUUUGGAACACAAAUUUGAGGUUCAGCUGACAAAGAAACUAUAAACCACAAAGACUAAAAAUGGUUGUUUGUUUUAAGGUAGGAAAAUCAUUGCCAAAUUUUCCGGAAAAAUCAUUCAAUGUUUAACUAAUUUUAACUAAAUUCUCUGUGUUUUUUUUUUUUAGGUCUGCUGCUGCCCUUCCUGUUUUCUCUUUUACAGAACCUACCCAUUGUAGUUAAGUUUUGUUCAGUUUAACUGUUACAGUUCUUUAGUUGGAGUAGAGUUGAUAAUGGGAUGGGUUGAGGUCUGGUUUCAAAAAAGAAUUGAAGUUUAAGCCCGUUUCAAAAAAAGUUAAUAAAAUAAUGAUUUAUAUAUUUUUAUAAUUAAAAUAUUUUUUAUUGUUUAAAUUGAAUUCGGAUUAGGUCAAAAUGAGGUACAAAAAUCCUUAUCCAAUCCCGAAUCGAACUAAGCGGAUUAUCCGACCUUUGUGCAGGUUUAAGUUGGACAGAAUUAUUAUGGUAUGUUAUAGUGAUAAUUUAUGGUCCUCAAAUCUUUAUGGUUCAUGAUAUUUUGUGUUAAUUUGAGGUUUCCCUUUCCAUCCUAAGUAGAAUCAUUGGCUUAUGAGGUUAGGACUUGGGAGAAACACAAGGCCAUAGAGAUAAAAUUGUUUGAGGAGUUGGGUUAAUGGUAGUUUAGGUAUUGUACAAAAAAAUUAAGUUAAAUUAUUUGAAUUGGUCACUCAAUUUUUAGGGUGUUUUUAUUUUAGUCAUUAAAAAAAUAUUUUUUCAUUUUUGUCACCAAUUUUUAAAACGUUUUCAUUUUAGUCACUCAAGCAUUAAAUUAUUAAUAGCGUACGUCAAAUCAUAUUUACACUUUUAUUUUUUUUAACGAACUAGAUUGCUUCCAUUUUGGUUAACAAAAAAAAAAUUACUGUCUUGAUCAAGUAAAAAAAUAAGGAUUAAAGUGAAAAAAAUAAUAGAAAUUAAAAUAAUGUACUAAAAUAUUUUUAAUUUGUACUUUUUAUCCCAUUGCUGAAUAUUUUAAUAUUUUUUCAAUAUUGAAAUGUUAAAUUUCAAAACAUAAUAAUCAAUUAAAUAAAUUGUUGAAAUUUUUUUAUCCCUAGAUAGUAUUAAUGAUUUGUCACUAUAAUAUUAAAAUUAAUAAAAUUAUUCUUUUUGCUAUUAUAAUAAAAGUCGAUUUGUUAAUAUAAUAUCAAAAAUUUAUUUAAUUGAUUUUGAUGUUUUAAAGUUUAAAAUUUUAAUAUUGAAAAAAUUUAGAACUCUCAAAAGGAGUAAAUAAGUAUAAUUUGAUAAUCUUUUAAUGCAUUAUUUUAGUUUCUACCAAAUUUUCACUUUAAUCCUUAACUUUUUUUACCCCAAUCAAUGCUUAAAAAGUUAUAUUUUUUUAGUGACCAAAUAAAAGCGGCCUAGAAGUUUAGUGACUAAAAUAAAAGUGUAUAUAUGAUGUGACAUAUACAUUAAACCGUUGUUAGAGAUUUAACAACUAGUUAGCUAAAAUGAAAGCAUUCUAAAAAUUGAGUAAUGAAAUUAUAAUAAUUUCUUUUUGAAUGACCAAAAUGAAAACGUCCUGAAAUUUGGGUGACCAACAAUUUAGGUGACUAAGUGGAUAGUUUAGCCAAAAAAGCAACAUUUAACCUUGAUAACUUAUUUUAAUAGUAACAAUAAAUGUUGUUAUGAAUUUGAAUAGAAAUAUUUUAAUCUUUUUAGAAAAAAAUUUAAAUAAUUAUAAUUCAAAACAAUUUUUUUAAAAUUGCCGAACAUAAUUUAUGAAUUUUCAGAUUUUUAAUUUAUUUUUUAGAAUUAUUGUUAAAUAAAUACCUAAAAGUACAAAAUUAAUAUUUUAACUAUAAUUCAAUGACUAAAAUAGUAAUUAAUCCUUUGAGUUAACAUGUCACAUUAUGAUUUUAUUAAAAGGUAACAGAAGAAUGAUCAAAAUAUAACAAGUGACUUACAUAACUUUUUAAAAAUUGAGUGACUAAAGCAUAAUUUUAAAUAAAAUUUUGAAACUAUUGAUGUAAUUUACCCUUAUUUUAUGUGAACUUUAUUUUCUAAUAAUUAUUGUUCAAAGAAAAAGAGGAAUUGAAAAGGAUCUCGAUAUUAUAAUUACUACCCACAAUGAAUUUGAAGAAAAUGUUGAUAUUAACUUUUGCAUAUUUAUUAUCUAAAUUCGUUUUACUUUUACAGAUAAUGGAUUUAGCUUCGGACAAUAAAUAUAUGAAUUUACUUACUUUCAUGGAUAAUAAAUUCAGUUUAAAUAUUCAAAAUUAUUAUUUAUUUAAAUUUUUAAAAAUUUUAUUUAAAAAAUAUUUUUAUAUUUACUAAAUGUUGAUAUUAAAAGGAUUUAAAUAUUCGAAAAACUUUUAAUUAAUUUGACUUAUAUCUAAUGGGUACAAAUAAACAAAAAAUUUGAUGGUAGUCAUCGAUAUUCCUUCCGUCAAUCAUUUGAUGGGUACAAAAUAAACCAAAAUUUGACCAAAUCUGCUAAGAUUAAAUGUCCACCAAAUUUAAGGCAUAUUAGUAUGAGGAGGGCCAUAGUAACUUUUGUCUUCUCAUUUCACAUUGGUCUAAUUCUGAUUUUUAGUCCUUCUACUAUGUUAAAAGUUGGGAUCUAAUCCCUCUAUUUUAAUUUAACUUAAUUUGAUACCUUACUUUUAUAAUGUCAUUAAUAGAUUCAAAUAACUAUAGUUAAUUACUUUCAUUAAAGUCAGUCAAACAUUCGAAGUCAUGUGGAAAUUCAAUCAACCAUAUUCAACUAAUAAUACGUUUACAAAUAAAUCAAAUCUUCAAACAAGGUUUUUUUUUUUUAAAUUCAACCUCAUCACAAAAACAAAAGGUAUAAAAUUUGGACUUACUAAUAAUAUUAAAAAGGCACGAAGCUUAAAUUAUGCUAAAUUAAAAAUAGAGAAUUAAAUCUUAAAUUUCAGGCAUAGAAAAAGGAUUAAAACCAAAAUUAUACCUUUUGCAUUUCCCAAGAACAAAAGUUUAAACAAGGGAAUAUUGUAGUUGUGAGACAUUCCCCUUGUGUUUUCUUUUCUUUCCUUUAUUUUUUCUGAAAAUCAAAGAUCUUUUGGUCCCCUAUCACAAAUUUAUAAUGUAGGAAUGUUUUUUUUUUAUAUUUAAAUUACAUAAUUUUAAUAGAAUUAAUCAUUACAAGUAAUUAAUUAAAUAAUUAAUUUAACAAUCAUUACUAGAAUUGAAGUAAAACACGUUUGCGCAAUAUCGAACUUGAACCUAAUAAAAAAUUGAGUAAAUUAUAUUUAAUAUCAUUAAAUUAUUAGCAAGUUAAUGUUUUUAUCAUUUAAUUAUAAAAAUUAUAAAAUGAUUAUUGAACUAUUCGAAAGUUUUCAUUUAAGUUAUUGGGCUGUUAAGUUUUUUUUUUUUUAGGAAGCUCUAAUUGACGAUUUGAAAGUUGGUACGGUAGAUCAAUACCCAUUGAUGAAUAAAAGAACAUACCUUAGGUCUAAGUCAAUCUAAUAACCAGUGCCAAAGACUGGAAAAGAAAGUUGUUUGGAUUUUAGUUAGCAGAUUCAUGAUGUUUAAAGCAAUUUCAUGAAAAAAAACUAAACUGUAGAAGAGGAGGAAAGAAAAGUUUUCAAUUGGUGUAGGCGAUACAAACAGAGAAAGCCAUAUAACAACAAUUUUAACAAUUUAGUAACUUAAAUGAAAAUUUUUAAAUAAUUUAGUAAUCAUUUUAUAAUUUUUUAAAAUUAAGUGAGCAAAACAUAAAUUUACUAAUAAUUUAUAAUUUACCCUAAAAAGUUUUGAAACUUUUUGUGAAUGGCCCUUUGUUUGUAAUUAUUUGGUUAAGCACUUUUUGGCAUAAUAAUUAGAAGCUGUAUUAGACAAAAAGAAAAACAAAAAGCUACAAAUCUGUCAAAAUACAAAGGGAUGGCCAUGGGCAUGUGCUCAUUGCCCCUUUCAAUGGGAAAGUUGUGAGUGUGAUGUGACUGUGAUGACCAUUUUUGAGCCUUAAUUAAAGGGUAACUUUUGUUGUAUUUUCUACUUUCAAUUAUUGGCCAUAGGUGGGGGAAUCAGAAGCUGAAUCAAUUAAUGGAGUUAUGGUCCAAAAAGAUAAUAUGAUCUCAAUUUGUGAUUUUUUCUAAGUUUAGUCCUUUUACUUUUGAUCUUUUGAAUGUAGUUUUUCUACUAUUUUAAUUUAAUAAUUGAAAUUUAAUUGAUAAUAAUGUAGAAGGAAUUCUGUUAAAUUGUAUUAUGCAAGCAAUUCAAAGCCAGGUGAGAUCCAUGGAAGCAAAAAAUAUAUCAAAAUUCACUUUAGUUCUUUGAUGUGAAAGAAUAUUUUAAUCCCAAAUUCUGAAUUAAUAACUUUAUAAUCUCAUAUUCAACAUUUUUUAUUUGCAUAUUUGGUAUUUCAACUGUGUAAUAUUGAUUAUGUAAUUAUUUAUUUUAUUCUAAAAUGCCUAAACUAGGCAAUUAUACCUCAGUACUUAAAAGUGAAGGACAUUACACACUUAAGUGUGUUCGAACCUAUGUCUUUUAAUUUUUUGUAAUAACAAUGGUGCCAAUCGAGCUAAAAUUUAGUUAAUGGAUUGCAAUUAUUAAAUCAGAAGAGCAAAAUAAAUUCCAAAUGUGUGAAAAGUAUAGGGACUAUGAGCAAAAUUAGACCAUAAAAACAUAAAUAAAAUUUUAGGAUUAAUAUCUAGUUUACUCCUUGAAUUUGUCUAAAAUUACCUAGAUAGUACUUGAAUUUUUUUGUACCUAGUUGAUACCUAAAUUUGUAUAUUGCCCCAAUUUGUUAACAACAUUACUUUUUUAAAGGUUAACAUGUAGUUUGUCUCUUCUGAACUUGUCCAAAAGUAUCUAACAAGUACCUGGAUUUAUCUAAAAAGUACCCAGUUGGUAUUUAAACUUGUCCAAUUAUUUUUUAUUUUUUUAAUUUAUGUUUAUCAUGUAUCAUUAUAAGAUUGGUCUUUUAGCACAAACUAACUGUGUUGGUGAAGAGCUGCUAACCUCGAUGAUGGAAUAUUAGUUCAAGUAUCAACUAAGUAAAAAAAAAGAGAUACUAACUAGAUAUUUUAGACAAAUUUAAGGAUAAAUUACAUAUUAACUCAAAAUUAUUGCAGUGGAGUGGAGUUGAUGAUUUCAAACGAAAUAUUUACCUUUGCCUCUUGGCUUAGCAAUGAGGUAUUGGAAAAAGGGUUCUUUCAAUCUCAUUUCAAAUAAAAAAUUAACAUUUUAGGCAGUAAAAACAUAUUUUUGUUUCUUUUCUAUUUUGAUUUCGUGUGAACUGGUCUCUCUUAAAAAAAUCAAAAUAAUAUAAUUUUUUAUCAAUUUUGAUAAUGAGCAAUUAAAGAAAAUUAAUCAUAACAUUUAUAUUUUUCGUCAAUUGUAUAUAAUUUUUGUUAAUAUAAUAACAAAUGUAACUCUUAAUAUUUAUAUAUUCUAUGUAAAUGUUAACGGAAUGUAUAAAUAUUACUUGUUAAUUAAUAGGAUUUAUUAUUAUACUAAUAAAAAAUAUUUACAAUUAAUGAAAAAAUUAACUAUUAAAUUAUGCUAAUUUUUUAAAGUGACAAAAUGUCAAAAUUGAAAAAGGCUACAGAAGUGGUUUUACCUUUCUAGCUUGAGUAAAAAGGUUUUCAAAUUCAAAGCAUUAAUUAAACCUUUACAUGUGCAAGCAGCGGUAAAAGUAUUAGCUUUGUAUAUCAGAUAAAAGAAUAAAUUGAUAUUUUCUGUUAAAAAUGAAUAUAUUUUUUAACAGAAAAGUCAAUUUACUCUUUAAUUUAAUAUAUAUUAUUUCAUCUAUUUUUUAAGUAAAAGGAGUAAAAAGCAAUUGAACUCUUAAUUUAGUGGCCUCUAUCGUAAUAUUUCCCAGCAACCGGCCGAAAGAAGAGCUGGGAAAAUGAAGAUUCAAUUACAUUUAUGAUAGGCACCAAAAGCAGUAUCAGUCUACAAAAACUAAAUAUACACAUACAUACAUACAUUGCAGGAAUCUUGUGAAUGCACUUAAACUGUUCAAAUUUUCAGCUUUUGAUCAUUUUUACCUACUUUACUGCAAAAACCCAGACAGGAAAUUUUUUUUAAACUCUUUAUCAAUUAAAAAGUUCAUUUAAUUCAUAAUUUGAUAGUGAAAGGUGAUUUAGACAUGGAUCUGCAAGUGGUUGUUCAUAAUGCCUUUUUUUUUUUUUUUCCCUUUGUUCUUCCUUUUUUUCCCUUUACCAUCAACACCAUACUCAUGAUUUCCACUAAAAGCUUAAACCUUAAUGCAUAAAUGUACUAAUAGUGUAAAAAAAUUAAACAAAUUUGGUAAAUGAUGUAAAUUAAAAAAUUUCAAAGCUUUAAUUCCUUCAUUUGGUAACUGUUUUAAAUAAAGUAUAAAGCUUUUGCAUGCUCUAAAUUUGCUCACUUUUUUCAAAAGGUCCAAAAUUUUCAUUAUCCCCAAUAAGUAAACCAAUCAAAUAAACAUUUUUUUUUUUUUUGGCUUUGGAUCUGAAGCUCUGCUAGUUCAUUUGCAACAGGUAAGCACCAUAAAUUCUUGGGUUUUUUAUGCUUUUCAUUUUUACAUCCAUUUUCUCAUCAUGAUCUUCUUCUUUUUGCUUUUUUUGGGUAAUUUUGUGGCCAUUUUUGGUUCUUGUUCAAUUAAGUACUGAAAAUACUUUUUUUUCUCCAUUUUUUUGUAAAUGGCAAUGCUUUUUGUUUAUUAGCGCAGCAGACAAGAACUGAUUAAUGUUUUUUUUUUUUUGCGUUUAUGUUGUUUUUUUUCACUGAAACAGAGUUUGGUUUUGUCGGUUUUUAGAUGAUCAUGUCUUUGAUUAGAACAUUGAAGAGCAUGUAAGCAAGUGGAUUUGGCGUUUUAUUUUUGUGUAUAUUUGUAAGUAUCUGAGUUAAUGAAUAUAUUUGUUUUUUGGGUUUACAGAAUAUGCCUCAAGAGAGUUUAAGAUCAAUUGUUUAUAGAUCAUUUGUUACAUGUGAUGAUCCAAAAGGAGUUGUAGAGAGUAGAACAAUUAGAAGGUCGAAAACCGGUUCAACCGACACGAUGGUGCGUAAUAAAACUGACGAAUGCCGGCAAAAAAUGAAGAACCGAUCGACAAAGGGGACUUCUUGUCAACUCUUGGAGGUUUCAAGGAGAGCUCACAAGCUAAAUAAUGUGAUUGAUUCAUGUUCGAAACGGCUUUGGUAUGAUACGAAUUCGAGAGAUGUAGCUAAAGAUUUGUUGAAAGGAGCACUUGAUUUGCAAGAUUCAUUGCAUGUGCUUGGGAAAUUGCAAGAAGCUUCUCAUUAUAUGGCAAAAUGGGAUAGGGUGAGAAACGAGCCGAAUUUGAGUCUGGUUAGAGAAUGGGAUUAUCGAACUGAAAACCAAAAUCCGAGGCUUUCCGUUGAUGGUUCUUCGAGAGAUUGUGUUGAGGAGCAUAGGAAAGUGAUUACGUAUAGUCUAGCUAAGCAAAAUCUAUUGCCAAAUGUUGAAGAAAUGAGAUGCUUAAGUGGAAGAUAUCCGGGUAUCCCGUCUACAAGCUCGAGUCAAUCUUCAACCAUCCGUACUGAAAAAGGCCCAAGUUUGAUUGCGAAGCUUAUGGGACUAGAACAAAUGCCUUCGAGACCACUGCAGACAAAUUCGUGCAAGGAAGUGGAGUGUAACAAGAUUUUGGAUAGACAAAAGCAUAUGUUUGAAAUCAAUAGGCCAAAAGUGAGGAAGUCUCGAUUUGUUUUCCGGAAGGAAGAUCUAGAUAGGCGAACAAUGGACAUUCACGAGGCCAUGCAUUUUAAAGGACUAUUGAAAAGCAACUUCAUCAAAGAGAUCAAGUAUGAUUCCCAUCAAUGGAGUGAUUUCUUUCCAGAACAGAAGUUGAUCAAUGAUAGUCCUCCAAUCGUACUUAUAAAACCUCGAUACAGUCCACACUUGCAAACAGAAGAAAAGUUCGUGCCAUGGUUUCACGAGGGUCGUAGCUUAAACACUGAUACUAUGCUCAGAAAAGUGCAGCCUCCUUCCAUUAGCUCGAGGGAAGGUGCUAAAGAAAGCAAAGAGAAAGAGGCCAAACCAGUGAAAAGCGACGUAAAAGCUAAAGAGAAGCUAUCUAUGAAGACAAAAACUUCAGGGCCCAUAACCGUGCCAUUGCUCAAAAAAGAGGCUACUCACAAGAAAACCAAAAAGAUACCGAAACCAGUUAACAAGGAGGUUGCAAAGGCAAAGAAUUUAUUGAGGUCUAAAGAUGAAGCUAAGGUUACCCCUCCAAAGUCUGGUAAGCUUGAAAAUGGAUCAAAUGUUACAAAUAAUAAAAUGUCUCAUCAACGCAGAUCACAAACUGUAGUCCGUGCUCCAAAUGAUCGGAAAAAGGGAGUGAACAAGAUGAAAACGGCUAAAAUAACUGUGAGUUCUUUAUAAGUUUACUUUCUGUAUUUAUAAUUCUUUUGUUAAACGGCAUAUCAGCAUACUGGACUUGAAAUGCCUAUGCUACAUUCAUUAAGCUAUGAAAACCCGAAAUGAAGAUUGAAAACUAAAUGCAGUUUAUCUUUUAUGCAGAACGAGAUAUUAGAACACAAUGGAGAUGGUAUUGUUUCGGAAGGAAAGAAGAUUGAUCUUAUAUCAGAAAGCGAUACAGUUUUCGAACAAUAUAGCAUUGAAACUGAUAUUAUGAUUGGAGGUAACAAUGGAGGAUAGAAAUUUUAGUAUAGUAAAUUGAUGUAUGCGACAUUAGUCAGCUGCUGUGUGGCUGUAUUAGAUUCGUAAAUGUAUACAAAAUGCAUUUUCCGAUUUAGAUGCAUGUAAUAUGCUGAGAGUUCCUAAUUUUUAUUCGAUACUUGGGACAAACUCGAGAACAUGACGUACAUUUAGAUGAUAUAUGUUUAGAUACUGAACUGGGUACUUUAUAUUAGGAGUCAAAUUACAUUUUGUCUCUUUUACUAAAAAAAUGAACAAAUUAGUUCAUGUAUGUUAGAUCAAAGAGUAAACUAGUCAUUUUAUUAAAAAUUUCAUCUAUUUGUCUUGCUAAAAAUUGGUUUGUGCAUGUCAACAUGAUGUUAGCCAUACCCGUUUUUAAGAAUAGAAUAGAUAAAAUUUUAAACAGAAAUGAUCAGUAAUGUAUAGAGAUUAAUUUGCCCAUUUUUUGAGUAAGGGGUGGUAAAAUGUAAUCUGACUCCUAGUAUAGGGACCUCCAUUAUAUUUUUACCGAUUGAACUGUGCGUAGAAUGUUGAUACUCACCUAACAAAUUCUUUGUUUCCUUUUCUCAGAAUGUCGUGAUAACAGCGAGGAUUCCGUUUGUGACAUUACCCUGGUGACUACUGAUUAUCAAAACAACCGAAAAUGUAUCGGUCCAAAUGAAACUGACAACGAAAGCUUCACUAGAGGGGCCAAACUAAAAGCACUUCUAUUGAGCAGUCCGGCUUUCCUCAAUCACGCCGACUAUCUUUUUUAUCUUCAUGUGAAUCUUCCUACAACUUCACCAAAAUUCGACAUCAACGAAUUCACAGAUGCCAACAGAAGACUUUUCUUAGACUGCGCAAAUGAAAUUGUUCGAAGAAUAAGCUUUCCCGAUUCUCAACUGGUUCACCCUCCGUUAUCAUCCGUGGUCGGAAAUGCCAAAACUCAUAUCUCUCUAGACCAUUUGUUAAGGGAAACUUGUGAUCAGGUUGAGGCAUUGAGAAACUAUAGUGAAGUAGCUGGUGAAGACUACCCUGCUGGUAGUCUUUAUUCAAUGCUUGAAAGAGACUUAAAGCACAAGGAAGCUUUAAGUGGAAUAUGGGACUUGGGUUGGAAGAAAGGGUUUACUGUGAAUGACACGAUACAAGUAGUGGAUGAAAUAGAGAAGCAAUUAUUGAAUGGGUUAAUCGAGGAGAUUUAUGCCUAAGUUUCAGCAGAAACCGAGUUCGGUUACACUCUUAACAAGAGAAUAUGAGUUCAAACUUUAAAAAUAAUAAUAUUGUUCGGAAAGUCUGUUACAACAUGGACGUGAGCGAUACAACAAUUGUAAAUAAAGUUGCUUUAGUUGAUAAUUGUAAAUUCGUUUAGGGUAAAUUAUAUUUAUAGUCACUCACCUAUUAUUAAAUUAUUUUUCUAGUAAUUUAAUUAUAAAAAGUUAUAAAAUAGUUAUCUAAUUAUUCGGAUUUUUCUUUUUUGAUCAUCAAUUGCUAAAUGACUUACGGAAAAAUGACAUGGUUGUUUUUGAAAUUAGCAUAAUAACAACUUUAAUACUCAACAUUUAUACAUUGUGUUAAUAUAGUAUUGAUUCUAAAAAUUUAGCUCUUGAACAUAUACACAAUGUGAAAUUUUUUUUAUUUGCUUUUUAUAACUUUUUCACAUAAAAAGCUAAAAAAAAUCAUCAACUAAAUUUGAUUUAGCGACAAUAAUAUACCAAAAAUGAAAGAUUUAGCGACAAUAAUAUAAAAAGCUAAUUUUUAUCUUUUCUCAUGCUUUUAAAACUAGCUUUCAAUGUCGCAAAUAAAAGUAAAAGUGCAAAAACAAAAUGUCAAAUUACACAAAGUAUAAAUGUUAAGGGUUAAAGUUACUAUUAUGCUAAUUUUAAAAAUUAUCUAAUUAUCUUGCCAUUAGUAAUAUAAUAGCUAUGCAUGAUAAGAUUAGAUAUUACAUACGAUAAUCAUGCAUAAUAAAACUCGAGCUUUUCAAAUGUGAGGCAUUUAGAUUAUGAUUUCAAUUUUAUGUUUUGAUGGUACCAAAUUUUUCUUUUUUGAAAAUUUGUGAGUAUCAAACUUGAAUUUCAUGCAAUUCUAAAUUUUAUGUGUUGUUAAUUUAUUUAUACUAUAUAUUAAGCAUUUGAUUAAGCUUAUAUCACGAGUUAAUUGAGUAAUUUAAUUAAAUGGUAAUGAAAUUAAACAUUAGAUUAUAACAUAUUUACUAUGUAAAUAUUUUUAACUACAUCGUAAGUAUGUCUUAAUCUAAUAUUAACAAAAAAUUUUGUAGAUAAAUUUACUCAUGAUUUAAUCAAAGCUACUGAAAAAAAAAAUCAAACCCAUUAGGAAAAAAAAAGUAUUAUUUUUCAUUUUCUAUUGGGUAAAUAAUGUAAUUACAAUUUAUUUUAUUUUAUUUUUCUAGAAUAUAAAGAUCACACGCUAUUGAAAAAAUAAAAAUCAAACCCAUUAGGAAAAAAACAAAAACAAAAAGUAUUUCCAUUUUCAUUUUAUGUGGGUAAAUAAUAUAAUAUCAAUUAAUUAUAUUAUAUUUUUCUGGAAUAUAAAGAUCACGCGCUAUUGAAAAACAUAGGGUAAAUUCCACUAAAAAUCAUUAAACGAUUUGCAGGUUUACAUUUUGGUCACUUAAUUUUAAAAAGUUAUAAAAUGGAUCAUUGAAUUAUUCAAAAGUUUUUAUUUAAGUUACCAAGCUUUAAGUUUUUUUUUUUCUAAAGUCUUGCUAUCAAGCUCCAAGGGAUAAUUCGGCGAUUGUUAUAGUGGAUCAGUACUCAUCAACAAAUAGAAAAACAUACAUUAGAUCUAAGUUGAUUUAACGAACAGUGUCAAAGAUCGAAUAAGAAAACUAUUUAGAUUUUAGUUCGCAUAUUCUUGACGAAGUUCAAAGUUGUUUCAUGAAAUAAAACUGAACUGUAAAAGAAUAAGAGAAAAAAAGCUUCCGAUUAGUGUAAGCGAUGCAAAUGGAGAAUGUUGUAGAGUAAAAAUUUUAACAACCUAGUGACGUAAAUGAAAACUUUCGAAUAAUUUAGUAAUCAUUUUGUAACUUUUGAAGUUGAGUGAUCAAAACAUAAAUUUAGUAAUAUUUUAAUGACUUUAAGUGAAAUUUACCCAAAAAUACAAAAUGAUGAGCUUUGAAUAAUCAGAGCCACAAGUCCGACCCCAUCCCUUAAUAUUUUAUAUAAUUAAAUUUAAAAAUUAAAUGAUAGAAAAGGUUAUUUUUACCAAAUAACUUUAAACUAUUAUUCAAAUUUUAAAUGGAUCCUAAAUUUUAAAAAUUCUAAUUCAACCAUCAAAAAUCAAUAUUAUAAUAAUUUGAUUCUUUUAUUAGCUUAACUAUUAGUUUGAGCGUAAAAUGUGAGCUCAUAUACAUUAUGGGUAUAUAAAAUAUAGAUUAAAUUAUAAAUGUAUAAUGAUAAGUUUAUCUCUUAAUAUUUAAUUUAUUUUGAUCUUAUUUUUUAAAUAAUUUUGGCUCUUAACCUUCAAUUUUAUUCGAAUUGCUUUGUUUUGGGUAGAAAAUUUGAUUGAAUUAUUAAAAUUUUAACGGCACUAAUGUAAUAACCGGCAUAAUAAUUCAAUACAUAUAAACUCUUGUUUUUUUAUUAUGAAAUCUUAUGUUUUUUUUUAUGAAAUACAUGUUUACAAGCUACAACCAUGCAAGUUGUCACCUUAAUUCGUUAAAAUUUUAACAUUAAUUUUUCUCUAAAAAAAAUAAAUUGACUUCAUUUUAAAGAUUAACGAAUAAAAUUAUCUAAAAAAACUUAAUAUACAAAAAUGAUAAAUAUUAGAGAUUAAAUUUAUUAUAUGUCAAUUAUAAACCCGUAUUUAUAUUGUAUAGAUAAUCUUGAUUUGAUGUAAUAAAAUUUAUAAUAUCUUUCUAAAUUUUAUUAAAUUUUUAAAGUGACGUGUCUUAUUGAUGUAACUUUGAGAUCUAAUUGGAAACUGAUGAAGUUUAGAGACUAAUUUAAAAUAUUUGAAAUAAAUUAAGGACUUUUGGUGAAAUUAACGCAGAAACAAAUUUACAAAAGUCAGCCUAACUGUCAAAUUGACGAAGCAGCAGAUUCAAAAGAGUCGUCUCUAAUCUCAAAAGCUAAUAUUUGAAAAUUUUUGGUUAUUUUUUAGAAAAUUCCUUUCUUGUUUCUUCUUCCUUUGCCCGGUAAACGGUGAGUUGAGAGACACGGCCGAAGCGAGUGUUUUGGGAUCCUUUAAUAAGGAUAUUGCUAGCCGCGUUUUUUCUGGUGAUGGGAGAUGAUAAAUCGGCGGCGAUGACGGCGAGUAGAGAUCGUGAGCUUCUAAUUCCGGUGGCUGAAUCCGUAGACGAUGAUUCCUCCAAAGCUUCUUCUUCUUCGUCUUCCUCUUCUUCGCAUCAUGCCGGGCGUGAGGUAUUUUUCUUUCAUUUCCUUUUUUCUCGAUUUUUUGUUGCUAAUUGGAGUCACCGUUGUGAUUCAAUUCGAUUUGACUUGGUUUGCAGCUUUUUUUGGUUAGUGGUUGUAAGAUUUGAUUUGAAUUUUAUAAAUUAAUAAUACUCGUGCAAUAGAGCUUAAUGCGAUUCAAUAGUGGAAAAAUUAGAUGUUUCAAAUUCAUAUUCGAGCUGGAAACUAUUGAUAUUAGAAGAGGUAUGGAAAUUUGAACUGUUUUACUUGUGUUUUGACUUGGUUUUUUGAUGUAGGAAGUUGCAUAAUAUACUGGAGCUAUUAAAAUAUGAGGAAAUGGUUUUUCCUUUGUUUUGUUGUUAAUUGGAGUUACCUUUGUGAUUUAAUUCAAUUUGACUUGGUUUGCAGCUGUUUUUGGUUAGUAGUUGUAAGAUUUGAUUUGAAUUUUAUAAAUUAAUACUCAUGGAAUAGAGCUUAAUGCGAUUUAAUAUAGAGAAAUUAGAUGGUUCAAAUUCCUAUUUAAGCUGGAAAUUAUUGAUAUUAGAAGAGGUAUGGAAAUUGGAACUGUUUUAAUUGUGUUUGACUUGGUAUUUUUGAUGUAGGAAGUUGCAUAAAUAUACUGGAGCUAUUAAAAAUUAAGGAAAUAGUUUUCCCUUUUGUUUUCUUGUAAAAUUGUUAUCAGAAGAUAAGACCAUUUAGGAUAUGUAUAACUGAGCUGAUGGUUGAUAGAAUUUCAUACAAAAUUUGUAACAAAUGAUUGCUUUAUCCGUUUUAGAGGCUUUCAAUGUAUCUGUGAUUUAUUUUUGAUAGCUUAAAGUGCUGUGUAAAGAAUGUUAAGGCCCACAACAGAAGGUAUAUGAUUCCUUUUCGUAAAUUCCCUUGAACAAAUUUAGGGUAUAGAACUAUAGGCUUGAAUUUGAUGUCUCCCCUCCGCUUAUGAGACACAAUGACAUUAUUUCUUUCUGGUUUGUGGAGUGGGAUAUUGAUGAUCUUUCAAAAGAAAUGGUUUUAUUAUGUUGCCUGUACGGGAAUUCUAUGCUUAUGUUUGUCUGUGUUUUCUUGUAACGAGCACACUUUUGUUUUUUACUCUGAAAAUUUGCCUUACAAGCUUUGUUUUAUGCAGACCUUUUACAAAAUUGUCCAGAGCUGGGCUUCAAAGAAGUUCAUGACAGGAUGGUAACUGGCAUUCUUUCAUCUCCUUUCUUUAGCUUUAUGGACUCAUAUGAUGGAUGUUUCUACAAUGGUCAUAUGUAUGAAAAUGAUUUGGAUGGUGCUAUUACCAUCUUCUUACAAAGGAAAAAAGGGAUCAACACAAGCCUCCAAUUCAACUUCUUUGUUUCAUAUCCUUGAUAAUUAGUGAAAAUACUUUCACUAAUGUAUCAUAUGUAAAUAUCUUUGUAGAUUUUACCUCUAAUUUUGAGUACUGUAAAUUUUAGAACUUUGGAGCUAUUAAUUCUUGAAUGAGAGAUAAUUCUAAAUACCUUGAAAUUUUUCACAAUUAUUCAGCUAUUUUCUAGGCAAAGUGCUUGGUGGAAAAUAAGUAUUUCACUAGAAUGGUUGGGAUGCAUUCAGUCACCAUAUAAUUAUAAUAAAUAUCCUCAUUUACAAUGAAUUCUUUGGGAGAGUAACGGUGGAAGCUUGAUAUGAAAUUUGAAAUAGAGAUAACAUGUUUGAUCAUUGACCAGCCUGACAUGUUCUUUUAAUUUUUUUUUCUUGUUUCCACUUUUCUCUUGUCGCAAUCUUCUCAUGAAAUGGAUGCUUGUCUUGAGAUUCCCUGCUUCUCUAUCAUCUUACAAAAUGUUUGUUCUUUCCGCUAUGAAUUUGUGCUAACUUUUAUUUGAUGAACUCCAAAACUUAGUAGCAUUGGUUUCUGAUUCCAAGAAAAUGUGUAUGGAGUUUCUAUUGUCAUUCAUGAAACUGUUAUAGCAGCUACUGAACCAUUUUUUAUUUUGCAGCGUCAUUUUGUUUCCUAUAGCAAUCACUUUCUACAUAACAUGGUGGUUUAUUCACUUUGUGGAUGGCUUUUUCUCUCCAAUUUAUGCUCAACUCGGAAUUGAUAUAUUUGGUGAGCAUCUCAGGCAGUUAGCACCUAAAAAGCUUUUUCUUUUUAACUUCCAGCAAGUGCGUUGAACUUAUUUCAUAAUUGUCGAGGGUAAAAGUACCAUGGAGGCCCCUGUACUAGGAGUUAGAUUGCAUUUUGCCCCCUUUACUCAAAAAAUAGGCAAAUUAGUCCCUAUAUGUUAGAUCAAAGAGCAAACUGGUCCUUUUUGUUAAAAAUUUCAUCCAUUUAUACUGUUAAAAACUUGUGUGGCUGAUGGAAUAACCAAACAGUUACACUUGGCAUGCUAUGUGUAGCUCAUGCUGACAUAAAAGGACCAGUUUUUAACAGUAAAAGUUGCUGGAAUUUUUAACAGAAGAAUUGGUUUGCUCUUUAACAUAACGUAUAGAGACUAAUUUGCCCAUCUUUAGUUGAGGGGGCAAAAUGCAGUUUGAAUCUUAGUACAAGGGCCUCCAUGGUACUUUUACCAAUUGUUGAGUCUUUUAUUCUUCCCCCCCCCCCAAUUGGAUCAUGGAGUUCGUAAACAUGUUUUCUUUUUCUAAGGCUAUGUCCUCCUUUUAUUUCCUGGAUAGGUCUCGGCUUUGUAACUUCUAUUACAUUCAUCUUCUUGGUUGGCGUAUUCAUGUCAUCUUGGUUGGGCGCAUCUGUCCUGGGCCUUGGUGAGUGGUUUAUCAAGCGGAUGCCAUUUGUUCGUCACAUCUACAAUGCAUCCAAGCAGAUCAGUUCUGCUAUAUCACCAGGUAUGCACUAUGCUGGUUUUCUUCCACAUGAAGUAAAUUAGUUUAGCUGGUCAUAUUAUUCAAAUUGAUCCAUGUAGUGACAAUCCAUAUGCUACAUCAGUCUUUUCAUUCACUUCUUUUACUAUUUCAGAUCAGAACACACAAGCCUUCAAGGAAGUAGCCAUUAUAAGGCACCCACGAUUCGGUGAAUAUGCAUUUGCCUUCAUCACUUCAUCUGUUACUCUGCAGGUAAGCAAAUAAAGUUUUCUUCCUAAAUUAUCAUUUUGGCUUGCCCUGUUUUUUUCUUCUUUUUCUCAUGAGAUCGUAACAGGGUGGAGCGGAUUUUUGCCCACCCUGGCCCUGACCCUGACCUGACCUUGACCCGAAGCUUAAUCAAUUCAGCUUGAAUCCUACCGGAUCCUGAUUCUUAAGAAAAAAAAAAUCUGCCUUGAAUUUGAAAUUUAAUAGGAGACCCGACUCCCGAGUCCAACUGACUUGAAUUUUAUUUUAUAGUUUUAUUUUUAUUUUGAAGAAAAUAAAAAUAUUACAUUUUAAUUGUUUUAUUUUUUAAUUUUGAAGCAAAUAAGAUUUAUUUAUUUGUAGUUUAAACUUAAUAUUUAUUUAUUUAUUGAAAGCAAAAACUUAAUAAAUAUUAGGAGAAUUUUUGUAAAUAUCUCAGGACAGGAUGGAGCGGGUUUACCUAAAACCAAACCUGACUAAUUUUCUAUUUUCACCCAACCUGACCCACUCAAACCUGAUUUUCCAAAAAAACUCUAAUCCUAACUGGUUGGUUCAAGUUGGAACCCGUCAGAUUCGGGUUUUUUUGCCAUCCCAUAUUUUUCUGGCAUGCAUGUUUGCAUGUUCAUUGAGACUGCUUGUUGCCCAGCUCGCUUCUACAGGAUUGUUGUUCCAAAAGACUGCUUGUUGCUUGGUGUCUGAACUUCUAAAUUUGGUUGCUAGCGUUUUAAAUAUUGAUUAUUCCAGUAGGGUUUAAGACAAACCAGGUAACGUGAAAUCAAGGAUGCCGUUUUAUUCUUUUUUUUUUUAAAUGCAGAGUGACGCUGGUGAAGAAGAGCUAUGCUGUGUGUUUGUUCCCACGAAUCAUCUUUACCUUGGUGAUAUAUUCCUCAUCAACACCAAGGAUGUUAUCAGACUGAAUCUGUCAGUCCGUGAAGGAAUUGGUGAGGCAUUCAACUUCUUUUGUUGUCAUUAUUACAAAUGCAAGGAAAAAAAGGAAGGGGCUGGGUGGGGUAGGAAUGAGAGGAGUUACUGCAUAGACCUCCUAACUCGGGGUUUAAAUGAGACACCGUGCUCGUAAGCUAUUCAAGUUCGACUUGAAAAAAACUCUAAUUUGAUUUGAUCAUUCUUGAGCCAAGUUCUAAUAUUAUGAUAUUAAAUUACUACUAUACCCAAAAAUUUUGUAUCGAGUUUGAACAUAUAAAUCAUGUACACGAGCUUGUUAUAUCUCGAGUUUGUUUCGAGUUUAAACUUAUAUCUCGCUCUUUCUCCCAUUGCAGAAAUUGUUAUAUCUGGGGGAAUGUCAAUGCCUCAGAUCCUAUCAACACUAGAUACUCAAUUGGAAAGAAGCAGACCUGAGAGAAGCUGAGAUAUAAGGUAACAGUUGUAGAGUUGUCGUUGUUUAUUUAUUUCACUUUUUUAGUUUUGGACUUCAGUCAUCGGACCGACCAUGCAAUCAAUAUGUCUCAAUAAUGCAGGAUUCGGAAUUAGAUUAUAAAAAUUUGUAAUGGUAGUGUCUGGUUCUGGUGGCAUCUGUAAUUUAGCUUGCUUGCAUAGAAAUGUAAAAACCGUUUGCUUUCAAAGUGUUAAGUUUGUUGAUAAUUGCGGGGUUCAUCUUUCCCCCCAAAUGUUGUUACUUGAGCAUAGAAUGUAAAAACUGUUUGUUUUUUCAAGUGUAGAUGUGGAGGCCUGGUUUACGUAGGGUUGACUUUGGUUCGGUCUAUAGGGUUUUGGAUUUUUCAAAUUGUCCGUGAUAAUUUGAUUCAUUUUUAUUAAUUUAAUUUUGAGUUUGGGAUUUUUGGAUUUUAUUUUGAUAAAAUGGAUUUGUUUUAUGAUUUUCGGAUUGUAUUUGAUAAUUUUUCAAUAUUUUUUCAUAAAUAAUUAUUUUAUAAGUAGAUAAAAAAAUUGAAGACUUUUAUUUAACGUCAUAAAAAAUUAAAAUUAAUAUACAUUAAAUAAAUGAUAAUUUUGUUCGGUUUAGGUAACUGCAAUUUUUCAACUUAUGAAUCAAAAUCACCCAAAUGCCUGUUCAAAUGGGUUCUUUUGUCAGCCCUAAGUCCAAGUUUGGAUAAAAUGAUUCUAACCUUUUGUUGAUCAGAUUAAAUCUAAAUUUAAAUUUAAGUUCAAACCUUAAAAUUAUACAUAAAUUUUGGUGAUAAAUCCUAAAAAUUAUAUAUGAACUAUGGUUAUGAACUUUGAUUUUGUGUAAUUUUAUACAUGAAAUUUUGGUUUGAUCAAAUUCUUGUAAAUUAUUAAAAAAAAUAUUGAUAUAACAUCAUUUUAUGUUUAUAUAUUGCAUAAUUAAACAAUUAUAUUUAUCUAAUAUAAAAAUAAAUUAAUAUAUUUAUUUAUUUAAAUAUGUAUAAUUAAGUCAAAUUUCAAAUAUAUAUCUGAACCACAAUUAUAGCUUCACGUAUAUAAUUGCACCAAAUUAAAGUUCAUACAUAUAAUUGCACGUUAAAUCAAAAUUCAUUUAUAAUUUUGAGAUUUAUCCUUAAAUUUUAAUUUGAUACGGUUAUACAUGAGAAACUUUUAUUGAUUUAAAUGUUUAGAUGAAAUUUUAAUUUUGAUUCAUUUAUACACAUUUAAAGAAAUAAAUAAACUAAUUUACUUGUAUUUUGUAUGCAAUAUGUAAGCAUAAAAUGGUAUAUUGAUAAUUGUGUUAAACUAUAUAAUUGUGUUAAUAGUUUAUGAGAAUUGAAUCAAAUCAAAGUUUUAUGUAAUAUAACACAAAAUCAAAGUUUAUAUAUAAAAAUUACACAUUAAGUCAGAGUUCAUGUGUAAUUUUGAUAUUUAUCUAUAAAUUAAAUGAUAAAAAUAUAAUAUUUAAAUUUAAUUAUAUAAAUAUUAGUAUAAAAUUUUAAAAUAUUUUAUAAUACAAUAAUAAAAAUAAAACCAGGACAAAUUCGAUCUUAAAUAUGGAUUUUUUUAAAAAACACAAUCAUAAUAUGACUCUAUCCAUAAAUAACCUUUUCUUUCGCGUAGCCCAUUUGCCUAGUGUUUUCUUUCUUGGGUUAAGGCCCAUUGCAAAGAAUGUCGAAAGUGGGCGCAUUAAGUGAAAAUCCCAGUAAACCCUAAUACCUUUUCUCAUGGUCAUGGAUCCCAAUAUCCCCGCAAAACCCCUAGUAGUUUACAUUCAAGUAUGUCCCCUAUAUAAACCAUUGACAUAAAGUGAGUUCAUCGACCGUGAUUCUGAGCUCCUCUCUUCUUUUAGGGUUUAUGUUCUAAUCGUAUAUCCUACAUCUGUUUCUCCGAUCUUCAUACCUCUGCUUUGUAAUUCGUUUAAUUUUGUCCCUUUUCUUUUGUAAAUCUGUAAUUUGAUCUGCGCUCUUCUUUUGUAGUUUAUGUUCUCAUCAUAUAAUCUAGAUCCGUUUCCUCUACUUUGAAAUUUGUUUAAUUUUGCCUUUUUUCCCUGUGAAACUGUCAUUUUAAUUGAGUGCUUCUUCUAUGGAUUAUGUUCUCUCAUAUAUCCUAUAUCGGCUUCCUCCGCUUUGAAAUUUAUUUAAUUUUACCUCUUUUUUUGAAAAUCAAAUAUUUAUGCUGCGAAAAAGGGACGGUGACGAUUUCAACAGUGAAAGGUCUCGUUCGUCGUAAUCGGCUGUUCUUCAACAGCCGUUGCCGACCAUCCUGUUAUAUAACCACCCAUAUUCCGAGUCCCCUUUUCUUUCCUUCAUUAUUUUCUUUUUCAAAUUAUAUUAAUUUUUCAUACUAAUAAUUUUCUAAGAAAAUCGGCCGCGAAUUAUUUCAUGUUGAAAUGCCGAAUCUUCUCUAUGAGGCCGAUUAUCUCACUUUUUAAAAAAUAUUUACCUAUAAAUUCUCAUCGAUAAUUUUUUUUAAAAAAAAAAGGUUUUUCUAGAUGAUUAUAUAAUUUCCUUUUCAGCUGAUGAUCUACGUGAUUAUUUUCUGAUCUUUUUGCUUCUCAAUCUCAUUGCUCAAUAUUAGUUUCAUGCAUAAUAAUAUUUACGGCCAUAAAUGUUUAAAUUAAUUAACAAACAUUAAGAUCGAAAUUAUGGAAUCAUCUUUGAGAUGAUUUUAUUUGAAUACUAUGUCGAUUAGAACCUUUUCUAGGAUUUCAUAUUAAAUAAAAAUAACUAUUAUAUAAAAAAUAAGAAUUUAAUAAAAAUAACUAUAUUGGUAGUUAAUUAAAUUUUCCUUGAUCAUUUUGCCAACAAGAAAAAUAAAAUAUAAUAUUUUUAAGUUAUUUUGUUUUUUUUAUUGACUUUUCGGUUAAAAAAGUAAAAUAAAAUUGUAAAAAGAUUAAAUUAUAUGAUGUGUAUUCUUUUUAGAUUAAGCACACGUCAUUUCAUUGAAAAAUCAGAGAGUCAAAUAUUUUAUUUCUUGGAUUUUGAGUAGAUUAAGAUAUACAAUUCAGUUUAAAAUGUCAAAUGUACUCAUUUGAGCAUGAUGAUCCAUCUUUAAUCUAAUUCUAACAAGGAGCCUAAAAUAUCAUUCAUAAUAAAUAAAAUCUGUCUUAAUCACUGAUAUCUCAUUACACAAUUUUAUUAUUUAAAUAAUUUUGUUGACAGGAAAUUUUUUAAAAUUAGGUAAAUAUAAAUUCUAAUUAUUUCAAGUUUGGGAUUAAGAUCUUUAUAAAAUUGAAUUAGUUUGGGUUUAAAUAUUUGAAUUGAUAAUUUGGGUUUAAGUUAUGCUAAAAUAAAUUUGAAUUUGAAUUAAUAUAGAUAUGAGUUUUAGAUUGAAGUUUUAUGUUGAUGUCAUAAUUCAGAAAUUAAUCAUUAUCCAUCAAAGUUGGAUAUCUAGUUUUGAAAAUCGGUUCGGUGGCUGAACUGACCAAACUAUUAUCAAUUAGGUGGUUUAUGAACAUUGGUUGCCUUCCACAGCGCUUGGUUCUCAAUUUGACUAGACCAGUCAAAUUGUUCAAUUUAAUUAAACAAAUUUAUUAAAGAAUAAUCAUUGUUCGAACUAGACUAAUCAAUUGGAUUAAAAAUCAGUUGAUGUGCGAAUCAGUACAGGCCGAUUAAAUUGGCUAAAAAUACAUAUUGAAUUGAUUUUUUAUUUUUUAAUAUAUCUUUUACAAAACUUUUAAUAAUUUAUUUAAUCAAACUGUAAAAUUAAAAAAAUAGAAAAGACUAACUCAAUCAAUUUUUCAAUCCAAUCCUCUCUUCAAACCAAUAGCAAUAGCUUGACCGAUUCUCAAUCUGGAUAAUAUAAAUGAAAACAACAACUUCACAAUUUUAAUAAAAUAGAAAUCCAAUUGAUAUUUUUAACAUUUAAGCAACAAGUAAAAGAAUCAAGCAAAAGUGACUGUUAUCCAUUAUUUACUUUCAUGUAAAUGACUAGCAGUAUAAUACUUACAAAUCAAUGGUAAAAGCCGUGAUUUCAAAGGUAAAAAAUUUUGGUGAUAUCUCAUGAAAAAAACAUAUCAUUCAUUUGCAAACAAUUCGCCAAUAAAAUCUGUAUGAAAAAAAAAAUAAACUGUUGAUAGCAAUGGAAUCUUUACAGAGAUAGUAUUACCAUUUUCAAGAAGUGGAGUUCCCGCUAUGAUUUUGGCUAUUUUUCUUUGUACUUCCCGUCUCAAUUUCCCGAGUAGUUUGGCCUUCAGUCGAGCCAGAAGGGUAUAAACCGUACUCGCUGGUCGGUUCACUGUACUCACUACUAGCACCGUAUUCUAGCGAGCCUAAUGCAGCCCUUCGGAGCCUUUUCAUGUCUUCGUUGUAGUGGCUUGCAUCGUAGUCUGAGCUUCCUCCAUAUGAACUGUACACAUUGCUUUGUCCCGGUCGCAUUCCUUCGUUGAGAUCUGAUAACGACGAUUCUCCUUCUAAAGCUCGUACGAUCUGUGCUCAGUUGCAAGUUACGGGUUAGAAGCAAAUAAUGAGUGGAAUGUAAAGAGUGGUGGCUCUAGACCCAUUUACCUGGCUCAUUCGUGGUCGACGUCGUGCUGAAUGUCGAACGCAAGCAGCAGCACAAGCAACCAUACGAGCCAUCUCGUUGUGGUUAUAUUCCUUUUGUAACCUCGGAUCGACGAGAUUGUUGAAAUUUCCAUCAUCUAAUGCUCUUGAGAGCAAUGGCCUAGCCUGCAAUCGGCAAAAUAAGGUUUACUCGAUAAAAAAGGAUCCUAAAAAGCUUAAACCAGUCCAGAGCAAUAAUAACUAACCCAUUCGACCAAACUAUCCUCGGCAUAAGACGAGCCAACCGGUCUGUGUCCGCUAAUCAACUCCAACAGCAUGACCCCGAAAGAAAAAACAUCCGAUUUUUCCGUCAAUUUUCCGCUUGAAGCAUACUCGGGAGCCAAAUACCUGGAACAAUGAGAAUACUAACAUAAAAUCACUUUUCUUGUGAACCAAGCAACAACAAUGGAUGAAGUCUUCUUACCCAAAAGUACCCAUCACUCUUGUGGAUACAUGAGUGUUGACAUCAGAAAAGAACUUUGCAAGUCCGAAAUCAGCAACCUGAAAACCAAAGUUUAUCGUUAUCUCGAUGAAGAAGUAGCAAGAAAAAAAAGCAUAUUCGCUUGAGUGAAGUAGGACGGUCGACACAUAAUCUAAUUCAUGUUUGAAUCUUUAGCAAUGUCAAGAAAUCAAAACGAAUGAAACCGAUACCUUAGCCUCGAACUUGAAAUCUAAAAGAAUAUUAGCCGCCUUAAUAUCGCGAUGAAUGAUCUUAGGAUUACCUGAAAAACCAUGAAAUCUGUUACUGAAAAAGAUCGAGAUCUUACUUCUAGAGCAAGUAAACAAGGGAGAGAGGCAAUUAGCAUACAAUCCUCAUGAAGAUAUGCAAGUCCUUUUGCAGAUCCUAAAGCAAUUAUCAUCCUUGUUGGCCAAUCCAUUGUAGGUCUCCCUUUUCCUACAAUUAGUACUCGAUAAUCAGUAUUAGAUGUAUUUACCGGAAAGGUUCAAACAUCAAGUAGCAUACAGUCAAAAGGCAGUCUUACCGUGCAAGUGAAACUCCAAUGUGUUGUUCGGAACAAACUCAUAAACAAGCAUUCUUGUUGUCCCGGAGAUACAGUAUCCGACCAAUGAAACAAGAUGUUUGUGAUGAACGCGGCUGAUAAUCUCGACUUCUGCUUGGAAUUCUCUUUCCCCUUGUCCGCUUCCGGCCUUAAGUUGCUUGACUGCAACUUCCGUUCCGUUUGGAAGAACUCCUCUGUGCACGUACCCGAAACCGCCUUGCCCAAGAAGGUUUGCAUCGGAGAAGCCAUCUGUUGCUCUUGCUAGUUCCUCAUAAGUAAACUUGCUCUUGGUGAAACCAAGUGCAAUGCCAGGGGAGGGUGGUGGAAGUGGAUUUUCGGAACCUGAAUUAUUAGAACCGGAACCUCCACUACUGCUCAUGAAAGGCGGUGGUGGUGGAGGUGGUGGCAUUGAUGGCAUAGGAGAAUCUUCUGAAGAUGGUGGUCUCCAUGCCGUAACUGGCGGAGUUGGGUUAGGCAAAAUUGCACCGUAUUGAUCGACACGCGGUGGAGGAUUUUGUGGCCACCGGUAUUGUUGGCCACCGUGUGGAUGAUCUGAAAGAACAAAAAUAUUUCAACAAUCCGAUUUGACCCGAAUCUAAAACUAACGAUUUGACCCGAAUCUAAAACUAACUUGGAACUUAAUCAACUAAACACAAAAUGAUUCAAAUUGUAGAUAAUCCAAAACCAAGUAACUCGGAAUCACCUGCAAAAUCAUAAUUCAAAAUAAUCCCUGCAUGCAAUGGUCGGACACAAAAAACUACCAGAAAUAUCAAAGUGAUCUUAACUCGAAAUGAUCAAAACUGACCCGAACUGGAACGGAUUGAAUUAGAGAUAAUCCGAAAUUGACUAGAAUCAAAAUUACUAUAAUUCCACGGAAAAAGUCUGACCUUUAGGAGGCCCAGGAGGUGGAGGCGGCGGCGCGUAGUAAAUUUCGCCGUCGUCUCUUCUUCUUCUCCUUUUCAUUUGACAACAUAUAAACAGCAAGCUCAAAACCAACAAUAUUGCCACUCCCCCUAUUGCUAUACCAAUAACCAGUCCGGUCGAUACACCACUGCUUGAUGACGGUGGCGACGGAGGAGAUGGAGUUCCUGAAUUCCUCGAAGGAGGUGGUGGUGGAGAUGAAGUACCUGGACUUCUCGGGGCAGGUGGCGAUGGAGUUGACGUAGAAGGAGGUGUAAGAGAAGGGGUAGAGGAUGGUGGUGGAGAUGCUGCUUCUGAAGGUGGAGGGGAUACGGAUGAUAUUGGAGGAGGCGAUGAAGCGGAGGGGGAAGGAGUGGUGCUUGAAGGAGGAGGAGCUGAUGGGGUGGCUGGAGGUGGAGAUGGGGUACCAGAUGGCGGGGAGGGAGGACUAGUUGGCGGCGGAGCUGCUGCGGUUGGUGGUGGUGUAGGAGUGUUAGUUGGCGGCGGAGUUGCUGCGGUUGGUGGUGGUGUGGAAGGAGUGGUAGUUGGCGGCGGAUUUGCGGUGGAUGGCGGCGAUUGGGAAGGAGGACUACUCGGCGGCGGAGCUCCGGCUGAAGAUGGCGGCGGAGACGUAGUGUUUGUUGAUGGUGGUGGUGAUGACGGCGCCGGAGUCCCCCCUGGUGGUGGUGAUGACAUUAUUGUAUUCUAUAUAACAAAAUGAAAAGACAAAACAAAAUACAUAAACAAAAAACAAAAAACUUUUUCAGUGUUUGUUUAAAAGAAGGAAUGUGUUUUUAAGAGCGAAAGAACAAAAAUAAAAUAUUUUUUUCCGGGAAAAUUGGUUUACUUCGACAGAAAUGGCAGGAAAAUAAUAUUUAUAAUAAUUAAACUAAUAAAAGUAUUUUCAGUAAUUCAGUAUUUUUAAAAAAAUAGAUUUAUGACGUAGAAGUUUUAUACAAAUCAGUGAUGCCUAAUACGCGUUUUAAAUUAAAUAACAUAUUAUCUUACACUAUCUAUGUUUACGCUAAUUUCUAAAUUAUGAUUUUUGUCUCCGUGAUUUAUGCAUCCCAAACUUCUUUAAUAUUUGCAUUUUGCCCCCUUUUUUCAUUUCUCAAUUUUUUUUUAUUUUUUUAUAUACAAUUUAAAAUAAGAUUUGAACUUAAAAUAUUAUCAACUGUAUUCCCUCAAUUUUAUUAUCUCAAGUAAAGACAUAUUUAGUAUUUAAAUUAUUUUUUUAUAAAUUUAUUAGAUAAUUAAUUUUAUCAUUGAAUGUGCCAUAAAUCUAGUAUUGAUAAUGAUUGAUACUUUUUGGCCGACACUUCAAAAUAAUUUGUAGUUAAAAGUUUUAUGCUGGCAUCUCAAAAUUUAAAUUCCGAUAUUAAUAUCUCCUUCCUUUUAGAUUGUAAUGUUUAAAAAAAAAAUGUAUAUAAAUUUUAUAGAAAACCCAAACAUAAUAAAAUUCACAAAAUUUCAACCUUUAAAUUAAAUCAAUUCAAUUCAAUCCAAUUCUAAGUUCAAAGAAAAUUCAAAAUAAUGAAAAGGAAUUCAAUUGAUCUAAUUUAGUAUAUAAAUUAUUAAAUUAUUGAUUUUGUAUUAACAAUUUAAUGAUAAUCUUUAAUAAUGAUUUUCAAAAAGUAUGAGAAUCAAAUCCUCAAUUCUAUAAAUUUGGAUAUGAAGAAGCAUCAUCAAUAUAUAUAAAAAAAAUCUUUAAAAAAAUAAAUAUUAAAUAUUUUGACCCUUUAACUAAAUUUUAAAUAUUUAAUCCAAUCAAAAUUCAAAUUCAAAGAACCAAUCAAAAACAGCUAAAUUGGUCUAAUUUGGAUGGAGUCAAAUAGGUUAUUGAAAUUCUAUUUGACAUUUUUAUUUUAUUUGUACCCAGUCUAAAGCAACUUGUAUUGGAAACAUUUUAUGAUACUAAAAUAUAUUUUUUUAUUUUUUAAUAUUGAUUUUAUUAUAAAUUUUUAUAAUAUCUAUUUUUUUAUAUCUAAAAUUUAGAAAUUACAUAUAGUCCCACCUUCACUCUUAAAUAAGAAGAUGAUAUAUUUUAACUACUCAGAUUCACGUUUUUUUAUACAUAUCAAUUAAAUUAAAACUCAAUAAAAAAUAUGGAUAUAGUUAAAAGAACAAAAUAUAAUGAAAUAAAUGAUUGGCAGAUUUUAUGGGAUUAGAUGAUGACAGUCCAAUCAUACCGUCAUGGCAUCACUUCAAUUAAAGUUUGGCAACAAAUUUGCUUCAUUUGAAAAACAAACGUCUAUCAAAUGAAAACUCUUGCUCAGCAGUCAUAUUUUCACAAGUUUUUUCUUUAAGAAUUUCUAUAUGUAUUUAAAAAAUAAUAUAAAAUAUAAUCGAAUAAAUUAUUGAAUAUAUUUGAACACAACUCAUCUAUAAUAACUAUAUACUUGAUAUUCGUGUAAAGUAAAAUUUGAGCAUCAAUAUUUGAUAAUCCAAAAUUAUGAAAAAUAAUAGUUGAGUAUGAACAUAACGGGCUAACUUAUGAUUUUUGUCACGUUGAAUCCUUGAAAUUUAAUUUUAUACAUAUUAAAAUUUUUAUUAUUAUAAAUAUAACAAUUAUAUCAUACAAUAAAAUUAAUAUAAAAAUAUAGCAGGAUGAAAAAUUAGAUAAAAUUCAUUUAUGAUGAACUUUAAGUAUCGUAAUUAUGCACGAUGAACGUUGAAUUUGGAUACUUGAUAGCAUAAAACUUUCACUAAAAUCGAGUUGGUUAAUUUGAUAUAUACUUUAAUUUAUCUAUAUUGUGAAAUUAUUUUAAAAUAAAAUUUUGAAAUUACAUGUAUGUUAUUCAAAAGAGGAAAUUAAUAAAUUGUGGAUAUAAAAAAAAUAGCUUGCUUUUACUAAUUUUUCAUUUAAAAAAUCUACAACUCAACCUUAUGCUUUUGAUUAUUUUUAAAUUCUAAAUCAAUCUACUAACCCAAAUUUUUAAUCGUAUUGAAUGAUUUGGACAAAUGCAUUAAUAUUAAUAAUGAAGGGUAAAUUUCAUUAAUUGUCCCGAACUUUUGAUUAAAAUUACAUUUCUGGCACCUAAUUUUCGAAAGUUACAUAAUGGUCACUAAAGUUAUUGAAAUGUUAUAUUUUACACAUUUUGUCAUUUUGUUCCUGAUUCUAAAAAAUUCAACAAAUAUAACCUUAAUAUUUGCACAUUUUAUUAAUUCUGUCCAAAUUAAAAAAAUUAUAAUUUUAAAAGCUUGAAAAUAUAUAAAAUUUAUUAUACAAUGACAUAAAUAUAUAUAUAAUUACAUAGAGGCUUAAAUAUGAAUUUGGUUGAGGGAUUCAAAUCAACAUUUCUUGAAUUUUAACAACUUUUUUGGAUGAUUCAACAAAAUUUAACCUUCAGUUUCUCUUAAUUUUUUUCAUCAAUAUUUUUUUUCUUUUAAACCUCACCAAGCUAAAUGAGUCAUUUAAAUUAAUUUUUUGAAUCAAUAAGAACGCAUUGUCACGCAAUGGAACAAUGAAAAGAAAAAAUUUUACAUAUUAAAACUUAAGUGACUAUCUGAGUAGUUUACCCUUUAAAAUUUUUAAAAAUUAUUAGCAAUAAAAAAUUUAAAAGCUAAUCGUUUAAAUUAACAUGCCACGUCACCCUCUUAAUGGAAGUUAACGAAUGAGUGAUAAAAAUGGAAUAUUUCAAUAACUUUAAUGACAAUAAUGUAACUUUUAAAAAUUAGACGAUUGAAAUGUAAUUUAAAUUAAAAUUAAGAGAGGAUUGAUAUGAUUUACUCAUAAUAGAAACACUGAGAUUGAAUGUAAUUAAACUAAUUUUACAUGUUUAAUAAUUCAAAAAAAAAAGAAAAAGAAAGGUUUGACCAACAUAUUGUGAAUUUCCCAUAAUAUUCUAAAUUAACAAACAGAUAAAACGAUAAUAAUUUCAAACAAAUUGUGGCCGAAAUCUUAUAAUCGUCAAAUUAGCUAAAUGCCGAAAUUAAGACCUUAACCAUCAAUUUUAUUAUUUUAUUUUUUUUCUAAUUUUUAUUUUUUAAUAUAAUAUUAAAAAUUAUUUAUAGUCUCCUCCCACUCUCUAAAUAAGAGGAUAAUACAUUUCAACGUAUUUGAACUCAUAUCCACUAUGACAGACAAUAAUAUUAAUAUCAACUAAACUAAAACUCAACAAGCAAAAAUUAACAUAAUUAAAUUCUUAAAAAGCGAAUUAGCAUUUAUGAAAUUAUUAUUCUAUUUUUUUUUCUUUGGCGAAAACUAGUAUGGAAUUAGCUCUAUAAAAUGGGGGAAUAUUCCCAAACAUCAAGAUAUGAUGAUGAUGUGAUAGAAAAUUCUGGUUCCAUUGCUUUCAAAUGCUAAAGGUGAAAUUUGAGAUUUUUUUUUUUUGUCUGAGAGCAAAACAAAGUGGUAGAAAAUACUGCAAUUAAUAAAAAAUAUAUUUAAAGGUAACUAUAAAAGUUUAGGUGUAAUUUUAUAAUGGUUUAAUUUUUAAAGGGAUUAAAUAAAAAAAAUUCAUUUAAGCUUAAAAUGCAAUAUUAUCUUUUAACUUUAUCAUUUAGGAGAGGAUUAACAAGUAAUUUUUCUAUUUUUUGAUUAACAAGUAAUUUUUCUAUUUUUCUGGGGCUAUCUGUUUCCUUAGAUUCACGUUUGCUUCUACCAAAGAAGUCUUCUCAUUGUUGGAUGAGGCAGAUGUUUUGAGUUAUUUUGCAUCCAGUUUUGAGUUUUAUGAUACGUAAUUAAGUUAUGUGAGUUUUCAGUCCUAACAUGUACAUAUAUUAUAGAUAAGUUUAUUUAGGGUAAAAGUAUUAUGGAGACCCUUGUAUUAAGAGUUGAAUUGUAUUUUGCUCACUCUAUUUGAAAAACGGGCGAAUUAUUCCUUGUAGGAUAAACCAAAAAGCAAUUUAGUAUUUCUUUUAUAAAUUACAUCAAUUUCUAUUGUUAAAAAUUAUUUCUUAUAACUCAACAUGAUGUGCAUGUGUCGUGCCACAUAUUACUAUAUGGUUAUUUUAUAGCCAUGCUAAUUUUAACAUGACAAGUAGAUGAAAUUUUUAAUAGAAAAAACCAAUAUGCUAUAUGAACUAACAUACAGGGAUUGCUUGCUUAUUUUUUGCAUGGAGGGGCAAAAUGUAACCUAACUCCUAGUAUAUAGGAGUUUCUAUAGUACUUUUUAUCAUUUAUCUGGCUAUUUAUUUGGGAUACUUUGUAUUAGUUGAAUUCUACUUUCUAAUUGCUUAAACUUGCAUUUAUAAUUAUAUUAUACUUAUGUUUAUACUGUAUUUGCAAUAACUUUAAAAUGGUAGAAAAUAUGGUCUAACUCUAAAUUUAAUUUUCCCACUUUAUAAAAAUUGAGAAAUUGAUUUUUCUAUUUUAAUUUAUCAUAAUUUUGUCCUCGAAAAGUAAUAAAUUAUUCUAAUUAUUGGCAAAACACAUGAAUUUUAACUUAAUCUAGUUUUCUUUUAUAAAUUGUUACAUAUAAAUUAUUAAACUAGUGAUUUUUAUGCUAGGUCCUUAUAUAUAAUUACUAAACCAUUGAUUUUCGUAAGGCAUGAGAACUGAGUUUUGAUAAAUUGAAGGACCUAAUUGGAUAUUAUAGUUAGAAAAUACAAUUUUGUGAAAGGAUUAGGUUAUAUACAAAUUCGACAUAUUUUAUAUAUAUUCACAUUUUGAACUUUGAAGGCUAUUUAAAGGCGAUAGCUGUUACUCCAAGUAAAGCCAAACCAGCUUACAACCAACACUCAAUUGCAAGUUAAAGAGAGGGACGUUUUUCCUAAAAAAUAAAAUACUUUUAAGAUUUAAAAAAAAAGGUUUAAAUACAAAAUAGACCUUCAAUUUAUAUUAUUUUUCAUUUAGGUAUUUAAUUACUUUUUUUGGUCAAAAUUAGUAUCUAAAACUAUUGAUUCUUUUUCGUUUUAACUUAAAAUACGAUACAUCAAUGAGAAGGUAAUGAAAUUGAUAAUUUAAAUACUAUUUUUUUAAAUAGACAAUUAAGUGGAAAUGUGGUAUAAUUUAAGGAUUAACUUUAUAGUUAAACCUUAAAUUUAAAAUUAAGAAGAAAAGAAAACAACUUAUAAAUAUCAUGAUCCACCCUUUGGACGAUUAAAAAAAAUCAUUAUUUUUACUUUUAAAAAUCUGAUUGAAAUUAAGUCUAAUAUAAAAUUUAAUCAAUUUGAAUUCCGAAUUUGAUUAAUUAUUUUUAAAAAUAUUUUAUAAUUCUUUUCACUUUAAAUAUAAAAUAUUUUCAUAAUAAGUUAAUAAAUAUUAUUAAUAUUGUGACAAAGUCUAAAGUCAUUGGACUAGAAGUGUUUAUGGGUUGAGUAAUAUGUUCAAGAGCCGAGCUUUGGUUUCUAUUUAUCAACCCCAACUCCUCCUAAUAUGAUUAGUUUUACUGUUUAAAAAAUUAUAAAAAUAUAAAAAUAUAAAUGUGUUAAAUUUUAUAUAUUUAUAAAAUUUUUAAAUAGUGAAAUAAGUAAUUUGGAUGGUCUGCAUCAAGCUAGAGCUUAGAAAUUUUUUUGAAAUCGAGUCUAGACUCAAAUUGACCUGUAAAUACUUUUUCAUAUGACAUUGAGUAUCUUAAUUUGAGUUCCACCAUGGUUGGGUUUUUCCUUAAAUUAUUUUGGGCUUAAGUCCCAUACAAAGUUAGUUAUAGGUUUAUUUAUUAUAUUUUAGGGUAAUUCUAGUUUUAAUUACUUUUUGUGAUUCUACUUGUAAUUUAAAAAAAAAUGAUUUUGUCGAUUAAGUCUUAAGCUCAUUGGUAUUGACAUUGUUGUUAGUGCAGAAGGAUGUGGAUUCAAGUACGCUAAAGCAUACUAUCCUCCUAUUUAAAGGUUGAGGAGAGAGGAUAUGGAUAGUACUAUGCGUUGUAUAAAAAGAUUUUUUUUUAUAAUCGUAAAAAGAGAAAUGGGAUUUGCUUAGGAUCAAACCCAAACUUUAAUGCCUACAACACAAUGCUUUUGAUAUUUAUGCUUUUUAACUUUUAAAUAAAAAACUAAGUCGAAUUAAAAUCUAGCCAAAUUUUAUAAAAUCAAGUCGAAUAUAAAUCAAAUUUGGAAAUAAAAAGUACCAUGGAGACCCUUAUACAAAGAGUUAGAUUGCAUUUUGCCCAUUUACUCAAACAGUAGGCAAAUUAGCUCCUAUAUGUUAGAUCAAAGAGCAAAUUGCUAUUUUCUAUUAAAAUUUUCAUCAAUUUCUACUGUAAAAAAUUAGCAUGACUGAUAGAAUAACUAGAAAAUUACACGUUGUGUGCCACAUGAACAUCUGACGUGGCUAAUUUUUAACAAUAAAAAUAGAUAGAAAUUUUAACAAUUUGCUCUUUGAUAUGACGUAAUUAAUCAAUUUACCUAUUUUUUUAAUAAAAAAAAAUUACAAAGACAUCCAUAAUACUUUUACCAUCAAUUUCCAAUUUUUCUUUCCAUUGAGAAAUAAUAUACAAAUUUGACUUGAGAAUAAUAUCAAAUUUUGCAUUUGCUGUUGAACAAUACAUGGAAAACAAAGAAAAAUGGAAUCGAUAUUCAUUAAGUACUUUUCUUUUAAAAAAAAGUCAGUUAAUUAUAAUUGGAAUAAAUAAUUAAAAUGUGCUUCUACUAUAAGGUUAGAAGCAAUUUAGUCAUUCUCAAAAUAAAUAAAAUAAUUUAAUUAUUGUAUUAUUAGAAAGUGAGCAAAUAAAUAAAAUUGAUGAUUGCGUUAAUCAUUUCCGUUAAAAGUUAUACCAAAAAUAGUGAAGGCUGUUAUCAAUUAAUUUAGGGAUUAGAUUGUUGUAUUUAUUUUGAAAGGGACUAAAUUGCUCCUGAUAUUAUAAUAUAAGUACCUCUUGUAUAUUUAUUCCAUUAUAGUUGUUUGGCUUCUUAUUGAAAUUUAACCAUUUAAGUAAUUACGUAGACAUGUAGACAUAGUUGGGAAAUAUUUGGUGGUGUUUUCAAAAUUAUAAAGAGGUAACUUUUGGCCUAAGAAUUUGACUUAAAAAGGACAUAAUAACCCCUUUUUAUGAUAGUAAUUUCAACAAUUUUGUCAAUUUUAUAUUUUGAUCUUAAUAAUUCAUAAGUAUGCCACAUCAGUAAAGUUAAACGUUUUUUUUUAUAAUUUCACAAACAAUAUAAGUUUCAGGACUAAAAUAAAAGAAAAAAUAAAUAGAGAACUAAAAUGAUUUUUAUUAAGAAACUGGAGGGCCAAAUUUUUAUAAAUCUAUAUAAAAUUAUAGUGCGUUAUAAAGAAAGCCAAGUCCAAAAAAAAGAGGCCGAACACUUAGAAUGGUCUUGUGCAUUCUACUAUAUUCCAUAUCAUCCUGUAUUUCAGGAGUGAGUACAGACGGCAACAAGUAGGGCCUUAGCCUCUUUUGGUCUAAAUGGUUAAAAUUCAAUACUAGUCCUUCUUGAAAAAAUACAAUUCAAUUUACGUUUUUCUUAAAUAUAAACUUAUGCCUUAGUCUCCUUCAAUAAUUUUGGUUUUAUUUCGGCCUUUAAUAUAAAAUUUCUAACUUUACCAAAGUACGAAUCUAAAUGGACUGAGUCCAACUCACUUUUCUCCGUGACUAUUGUACAGGCCAAUUUUGGGCCAUCCCCAAAACCCAAUAACCUACCUACCCUAAUCCAAAAAACCCUUAACCCAAUAAGCCCAUUAAACAAAACAAGCCCAAACCAAUACCAAAACCCUAGCCCAACUAUUUCAAAUUUUUUCAGCAAUCAACCUUCAGCCGCAACUCAGCCCCCCAGGUGUGCUGCCGAACCUCUAGGCCAACCAUUGGCCACCUUGCGCACUACCACCGUCGCACGCCCCACGCAUGCCCCUCUCCUCCAUGCGUCUGACACCCCUCAAAGCCUGCAAACAAGCAAGAAAAGAGGACACAAAAAGACAAAAACCAUGUGCAAACAGCAAAGGAGAUAGCAGAAACAAUAGCGAAAUCGGCUAUAAAGCCUUGGGGAGGAACCCGAUCAUGGAGGGGAGGAACGCUCACUGGGCACAAUAUACGUUUCUGCAUACAUACAUAAACAAAAAAAAUCCAGUAUAAAGGUGAUCUCUAGUUUUUUUCCCUCUUUCUUUUCGGAUCUAUUUUUGGUUUGCUAGAUUUCUUUUAAUUUAUGGAUCGACACCAAGGAAAACCCAAUGAUCUCUGAAAUGAAGAGAUUUAGGUGAGGGUCGAAUGUUCUUCUCAACUUUUUUCUUCUUUGUUUUUUGUUUUAUUUUCAAAGAAGCAAAGCACAAUUUAAAGUUUUUUUUUUAAAAAAAAAAGGAAAUGAGAUGGAUUGGUUUACCAGAUCUCCAUGAUUGCAAUCUUCACAGGCAAAGGUUGGGUUGUUGACCGCACGUCGUCGGCCAUUAGUCCAAUAUUGGCUCGUCGUCUGCUAGCCAAAUGAAACCCUAUCAUUUGGGGGUUAAUGGCUGUUACUACUUUUAAAAAAAUAGUUGAAAUUAGAUUAUGUUUGAAGAAAAGGGGGUUUAAAAUCCUUCACAAAGCCACGCGGCACUGUUUAUAGCAGUAAAGGUCUACGCAUUGGCCCAAAAAAGUGAAAUGGAUUUGCACCAUUUUGUUAAAUGGCAGAUUUGCACGUUAGAUCCCCCUCUUGCGCGAGUCUUCAAUUUGUGCCCAAUUGGCUUACCUUGUAUUUUAAAAUUUGGCCUGCUAAUUUGUGCAUCAUUUCAUUUUGAUCCGCGGUUCAUUAAUGCAUUGUGGAUGCGAGACAUUUACAAAUUCAGUCCUCCUACAUUUAUGUGCAUUGAGCAUUAAUUCAUUUUGUAAUUGCUUUAUUUGCAAAUUAUCUUCCUUAUUUUUACUGUAAGUUUAAUUUGGCCUUGUAAUUCUACGAUUGGUUAAUUUUUAAAUGCAUUUAAUAUGUGUAAUACCUUACCAUGAAUUAUUAUUUCUUGGUAUUUAGUAUAUUAUUUAAAUUAUUAUUAAACAUAUAUUUUGUAUUUAUAUUUAAUUUGCAUCCAUUAGUAAAGUUUUAAUAUUCUUAUACAUAUAGAUUUUAAUAAGUUUGUAAUUAAUUGUGUUUUUUUUUUAAAAAAAAUAAUUAUUAUGUAUAUAAUUUAUGAUAAAAUUAGGUUAAUCCUAUAAUUCAUAUUUUAAUUAGAUGAUUUUGACAUAUAAUUACUUCUUACAUUUUUCACAUGUAUAGGGUACAUAUUAAAUUAUUUUUGCUAUGGUACAUGUCAUUAUUUUCAUAUAACCUUAUGUAAAUAUUUUUCUAUGUAUAUAUAUUCUCUUUCAAAAUUAUUUAUGUGAAUAAUAUUUUUAAAUCAUUCAUUGUAUCUUAUAUUAUCCUUAUGUUUUAUAUAUAUAUAUUUUGUUAUUUAUAUAACGUAUAUGUUUACUUCUUUUUUUAUACAAUAUUAAUUUCAUUCUUUUUAUCAAUAAUUAUACCCAAUGUUUAUCUGUAUAUAAAGAUUUCAUAAAUUUACUUUAUAUAUUAUCUUAUAUCAUAUUUCAAGUCAAACUAAUAUGUUUUAAGCUAUUUUUAUAAUCAAUCAUUUAAAAAUUCUUUAAAACGAAGGCGAUGUGCGAUAUUUGGCAAUUCGCAGAAUCGUGUCCUAACGUGUUGGGUUACAAUUUCUCGUUUGCUUAAAAUAAUCAAAUAUCCCUUCAAAAUUUCACGCAUACCUUCUAAAAAUCAUUUAAAACGAAGGCAAUAUUCGGCGUUUGACAAUUCGGGAAUCAUGCCCUAUCGUGCUGGGUUGUGAUUUCUCGUUUGUUCAAAACAAUCGAAUAUUCCUUUAGAUUUUCAUUCAUGUUUAUUUAAAACCUUGAAAAAAACGAAGGUGAUGUUCGAUGUUUGGCGAUUUGAGAAUCGAGCCCUAUCGUGCUGGGUUGUGCUUUUUCAUUUGCUCAAAAUAAUUGAAGAUCCCUUCGAAAUUUCACUCGUAUUUUCUAAGGUGAGGCAAUGUUCGAUGUUCGGAAAUUCGAGGAAUCGUGCCCUACUGUGCUGGGUUUCGGUUUUUCGUUGGACCAAAUAGUUGGGCAUCCUUUUGCGAUUUUCAAAUUAUAAAUUUGCGGUCAUCGAAACAAGAAGAUUUUUGACAAUCAACUCGGGUCACUCGAACGUUAUUAGAAAAGAACCACAUUUCCAAAACAUUUUUAUCUUCGACACUAAGACACUAAUUAAUCAACUAGGUACCAAUUUUGGGCGUAUCGAGGGUGCAAAUCCUUCCUCGUGCGUAACCGACUCCCGAACUCAUUUUUCUGAAUUUCGUAGACCAAAAUCGUUGUUUUAAUAAAAUUAAAUCAUUUAUUAAAAACAACCACUUUUUGAGGUGACCCGAUCACACCUCGUCAAAAAAGGAUUGGUGGCGACUCCCGUUUUCAUUCUUUUUUUCAAAAUCCAAGUCGACCCCGUUUUCAUCAAAAAAAUGGUGUCAACAGCUUGGCGACUCCACUGGGGAGAAUAAGAGAGUCAAGCCACGUGUUGAUUAUUUCUUGUCUUUUUGUUGAAAGUGGAAAAUUCGAUUUAAAUUUACGAUCCUCUCAUUGCAUCUCUUUUGUUUUGAGUUAUUUUUUUAUCGUGUUCUGUAUUUUAUUUUAUACCUCUGCACAUUGCAUUGCAUGACCGCUGGUCACACCUUUUAAGUGGGAGUGAGAAACUACGCCUUCGUGAGGUUUUCACCUCCGCAUGGGAUAGUGAAUCGCUUCCGGGAUACAUCCGUACCUAUGUCUUCGUGAGAUUUUCAUCUCCGCAUGGCCAUAGGGAAAUGUAUUCCCCUGAACUGAACUCGGUCCAUAUGAGCCUAUAAUGGGUGAGGAUCGAGGAAUCUGCUGGUUCAGGUACCCUUACUUUAGAACCAAACCACACAUANNNNNNNNNNNNNNNNNNNNNNNNNNNNNNNNNNNNNNNNNNNNNNNNNNNNNNNNNNNNNNNNNNNNNNNNNNNNNNNNNNNNNNNNNNNNNNNNNNNNNNNNNNNNNNNNNNNNNNNNNNNNNNNNNNNNNNNNNNNNNNNNNNNNNNNNNNNNNNNNNNNNNNNNNNNNNNNNNNNNNNNNNNNNNNNNNNNNNNNNNNNNNNNNNNNNNNNNNNNNNNNNNNNNNNNNNNNNNNNNNNNNNNNNNNNNNNNNNNNNNNNNNNNNNNNNNNNNNNNNNNNNNNNNNNNNNNNNNNNNNNNNNNNNNNNNNNNNNNNNNNNNNNNNNNNNNNNNNNNNNNNNNNNNNNNNNNNNNNNNNNNNNNNNNNNNNNNNNNNNNNNNNNNNNNNNNNNNNNNNNNNNNNNNNNNNNNNNNNNNNNNNNNNNNNNNNNNNNNNNNNNNNNNNNNNNNNNNNNNNNNNNNNNNNNNNNNNNNNNNNNNNNNNNNNNNNNNNNNNNUUGCUUCGAUAGCUAUAAAACGAGAGAAGAACUUCAGUUUUCAAAAGUUUCAAGUAUGGAAAUCAUCUUUUUUUCAAUCAUUAUAAUCAUGUAUGCUUUUGAUAAAGUUGUAACUUUAUUUUUGUUAUAGAAAUGGCUUGACUACUAUGGACCGUUUGAAGCUGUGGUUGAUGCGGCUAAUGUCGGUCUUUUCAGCCAGAAAAGAUUCAUGCCAUCAAAGGUCAAUGCUGUUGUUAAUGCAAUACGACAGAAACUUCCAUCAAGGAGAUGGCCACUUAUUGUUUUGCAUAACAAACGGAUCACUGGACGGAAGAUGGAUGAACCAGUAAAUAAAGCAUUAAUUGAUAAGUGGAAAAAUGCCGAUGCUCUAUAUUCAACACCAACCGGUUCCAAUGAUGAUUGGUACGAAAUACGGGAAGUUACAGCUAACUUGCAUGAUUGCUUAUUUGCAUAAUGGCACAUUACGGUUCUAUUUAAUCUGUGCUUCAGGUACUGGUUGUAUGCAGCUAUCAAGUUUAAGUGUUUAAUCGUGACUAAUGAUGAGAUGAGAGACCAUACCUUUCAACUUUUGGGAAAUGAAUUCUUUCCGAAAUGGAAAGAAAGGCAUCAAGUGAGUAAAGCUCUCGAUAUAUACUCAGUUGCUUAGUAUGAUUCUCUAAAGCAAUUCUACUAAUAAAGAAUCUGUCCUUUUUCCUUAUCAAAGGUGCAUUUCAGUUUCUCAAACACCAGUCCAGUAGUUUACAUGCCUCCUCCAUGUUCAGUAGUAAUUCAGGUAAGUCCCUACGAACUAUAAAUCGAAAGAAUAGAGAGAGAUAUAGUGUGCUGAAUCUUCAUAUAUGCAAAUACAUGUCAAUAGGAAUCAGAGAAAGGCCACUGGCAUAUUCCCAUUGCAUCGGAACUCGAUUAUGAUUCUGAAAGAACAUGGUUAUGCAUUAGACGAGCUAACUCACAUACGGUGAAGGAAGAUUCCGUAGCCAUAACUGAAGGUAUUACCGAGCUUAGUUUAUCAGUGUUUCUUCACUCAGCUAUCAUAUGUCACAUAGUAGUAGUAUGCAUGCAAUUUAUUUGAUGUCAGCAAAUUCGACUUUAUGGUGUCCCAUUGAUUUGUUUACAUACAAGGUUUUCAUGUGUGACAGAUUCGCAGUCUCUUAACCGUAACAAGGAACAUACCAAGUCAACUACUCAAACCAAAGUUAACUCGAAUUUCCUGCCAUUAAACAAUGGAAACUAUGAUAAACCACGAAAGCUAGCUGAGGAAAUGUACAAAAACAUCACCAGUAUUUCGUUUGCUUCUGUCUCCUCCGAUCAACACAAACUUCUAUCAGAAAUAGAAGCCGCAGAGAUGCUUGGCAACUGUGUAAUCGACUUUCAAAUAUGAAACAAGUGGCUUUCGUGUAAAGUUUUGGAAAUUGUAUUGAACUACCAGUAGGAAUCUGUUUUUAGUUGUAUAGUUAUGAAGUGCCUGAGCCGAGUUUAUAUUGAACUAUGGUGUAUUUUAGCAGGGUUUUUGCCCAUCGGAAGCUGUUUCUUUCUGGAGAGAAAGUAUCCAAUUUUGCCAAAGUGCAAUCCGAAUUUGCCAAGACAUCACCAGCGUUAUAUAUAUAGCAUUUCAAUUCUCCUAUCUUGAUUAUGUUUAUAAUUAGCUAGUUUUCUCCAUGUAUUGAACUCUUAUUCUUACUCUUUUAUGUUAAUUUGCUCCUUCUUUUUUGAAAUACCGAUAGCAACAGUAGCAACCAUUGAGAAAUUGAAUGAAGAACCAAGGUAUGUUGACUCUCUUUAUCUACGCAACAUUAGAGUGAUAUAUAUACACACAUACACAUAUAGACAUUAGCUUGAUCUUCCAUGUUUCUAACCGGUUCAUUAUUGUAGGGAUUAUACUGCUCCAUGUCCAGUAAAAGUCAUAGACAAGCAUGAACUUGACACUAAAGAGUGCUGCUUUUCUUCUUCACAUGUGCAGACAAGUGACUCAGGAUUCAGCAUUAGAACUAAUUUAGUUUCAUGGUGCAUUUUGAGGCAAAAAAUUUACAUACUUGCAGACCAAGUAAAUGACAGAACAGUUUACUAGAGAUGAAGACAGCCGGAAAGCAGUUCCCGAAUACAUCAAAUCUUAAAAGAGUCAUAUAAUGACUUCCCUGUCCAAAUUUGGACAUUAGUUACUGUCCCCAAUGGAAUCCUACAUUGGACAUUUGGACUGAACAUAUGUAAAUUAAGGUAACCUUUCUUUCUAACUGUAUAUACAUUUAUAUGUACUUGUCUCCCAGUUAUUGCAUUUUCUCUAUCUAUCAAUCACGACCUUUUGGACUUCUAUUGCCACUUAAGGAUUCCAGCUUCUCUAGAUUAGGAGACUUUUUCUGAGUAGA
This 42566-nucleotide long non-coding RNA is filed under the name Gossypium barbadense (sea-island cotton). Its description in RNAcentral is "long non-coding RNA (GBAR_LNC005844)". The stretch from base 19426 to 19570 matches the Rfam family "MIR7502 microRNA precursor family". The record is from RNAcentral. Lineage: Eukaryota; Viridiplantae; Streptophyta; Magnoliopsida; Malvales; Malvaceae.